Molecule: long non-coding RNA, 1023 nt
Filed under: Anas platyrhynchos platyrhynchos (common mallard)
Lineage: Eukaryota; Metazoa; Chordata; Aves; Anseriformes; Anatidae
Description: lncRNA (ENSAPLG00000030521.1)
Source: RNAcentral
GGUCAAGGUUGCUUUCCUCAGUAGCUGGAGUGGCAGAUAAAUCACCAAAGACGAUUCACAAUCUUUGACAGCUGUGAAGACAAGAAGCAUGCCUGCAUGAAGUCUCUACAGAACACGGCCCACUGCUGUGUCCAUUUCUAGAGAUUCCUCCUCGAUUCACAUUCUUCUGAAUAAGUCCUCUGUCGAGGGGUGAAGGCCUGACUCAGAGGAACUCACAGAAUGGUGUUCAGGCAGCCUUCUCAAGAACUGUCUUGCACAAAAGAUGUGGAAGCAAUUCAGUGUGUCCAAAACAACUGAUGAUGUGGCAGGAUUAGAACCUGAUCCAGGCUACGGUGGGGUAGCUGGCUCAUCUCAGUGGGAGAGCUGGAAUGGAGUGUUAAAUUGCUGCGAGAAGAAACUGUUCCAAAGCCACGCGGAUUCUUCACAGUGCUUCCUACGCCAAACAUCCUCACUCCCACAGGGAAGAAAAGCAGCGUGGAAAGGUGGCAGUGCUCGUAAUCUGUGCGACUGGCACAGGAGGAGCAGCCUGUGAGCAGCCUCUGGCUCCACCGACUGGCAUGUGGUUCCCUGGGGUAGUGAGGCUGUGAGGGGGCCCCAGCUGAUAUGGGGCCGGGGCUUUCCCCCUGCUCAUCUCCAGCACAGGGGCCCAGCACUCACAGCCAGUGCUGAAAGCACAAGGGAGGGCUGCCACUGGCAGCUUUUGUGCUGGUCUCGGCGUUGAGGCCCACUGGAGAUCUGGCAUCUGAGGAGCAGAGAGCAAGAGCCUCCAGGAGCCAGCAGCACCAGCAGGAAUGGGAGGCAAGCAAAAGCCAUGAGUGGUUGGUGUUCCCAUUUAGCACUGCCCUAUUAAGCAGUGUUCUUUGCUAGAAAUAACACCAACCUCAAGCAUCUUCCUCUGGGAGGCAUUCCAGUUAGGAACUUUUUCCAUUUAACCGAGAAAUGCAGGGUGUUAAAAAGUGUUCAGUCUGGACUACAGUCAAAUAGGAAAAUAAAUAAAUAAAUAAAUAAUGUGUAAUUUAAGCU